UGCGUAGGCGGCCAUGUAAGUGAGGUGUGAAAUCCCUCGGCUCAACCGAGGAACUGCGCUUCAUACUGCAUGGCUUGAGGGAGACAGGGGUAAGCGGAACUGAUGGUGGAGCGGUGAAAUGCGUUGAUAUCAUCAGGAACACCGGUGGCGAAAGCGGCUUACUGGGUCUCUUCUGACGCUGAGGUACAAAGCUAGGUAGCGAACG
This 205-nucleotide ribosomal RNA is filed under the name uncultured bacterium. RNAcentral's name for it is "partial 16S ribosomal RNA". It matches the Rfam family "Bacterial small subunit ribosomal RNA", at positions 568 to 774 of the family's 1533-position model. The record is from RNAcentral.